AAUAUUGGACAAUGGGGGAAACCCUGAUCCAGCCAUGCCGCGUGUGUGAAGAAGGUCUUCGGAUUUUAAAGCACUUUAAGUUGGGAGGAAGGGUUGUUGGCUAAUAUCCAGCAAUUUUGACGUUACCGACAGAAUAAGCACCGGCUAACUCUGUGCCAGCAGCCGCGGUAAUACAGAGGGUGCAAGCGUUAAUCGGAAUUACUGGGCGUAAAGCGUGGAUAGGUGGGUCCGGAAGGAGGGGGUGAAAUCCCCGGGCUUAAACUGGGAACUGCUUUCCUAACUGCCUGGCUAGAGUAAGGUAGAGGGUAGUGGAAUUUCCUGUGUAGCGGUGAAAUGCGUAGAUAUAGGAAGGAACACCAGUGGCGAAGGCGACUACCUGGACUGAUACUGACACUGAGGUGCGAAAGCGUGGGGAGCAAAC
This 421-nucleotide ribosomal RNA is filed under the name uncultured bacterium. RNAcentral describes it as "partial 16S ribosomal RNA". It matches the Rfam family "Bacterial small subunit ribosomal RNA", at positions 360 to 773 of the family's 1533-position model. The record is from RNAcentral.